RNAcentral lists this ribosomal RNA (666 nucleotides) under uncultured bacterium. RNAcentral describes it as "bacterial SSU rRNA". It matches the Rfam family "Bacterial small subunit ribosomal RNA", at positions 11 to 679 of the family's 1533-position model. The record is from RNAcentral.
GUUUGAUCAUGGCUCAGAUUGAACGCUGGCGGCAGGCUAACACAUGCAAGUCGAGCGGUAGAGAGAAGCUUGCUUCUCUUGAGAGCGGCGGACGGGUGAGUAAUGCCUAGGAAUCUGCCUGGUAGUGGGGGAUAACGUUCGGAAACGGACGCUAAUACCGCAUACGUCCUACGGGAGAAAGCAGGGGACCUUCGGGCUUGCGCUAUCAGAUGAGCCUAGGUCGGAUUAGCUAGUUGGUGAGGUAAUGGCUCACCAAGGCGACGAUCCGUAACUGGUCUGAGAGGAUGAUCAGUCACACUGGAACUGAGACACGGUCCAGACUCCUACGGGAGGCAGCAGUGGGGAAUAUUGGACAAUGGGCGAAACGUGAUCCAGCCAUGCCGCGUGUGUGAAGAAGGUCUUCGGAUUGUAAAGCACUUUAAGUUGGGAGGAAGGGUUGUAGAUUAAUACUCUGCAAUUUUGACGUUACCGACAGAAUAAGCACGGCUAACUCUGUGCCAGCAGCCGCGUAAUACAGAGGGUGCAAAGCGUUAAUCGGAAUUACUGGGCGUAAGCGCGCGUAGGUGGUUCGUUCAGUGGAUGUGAAAGCCCGGGCUCACCUGGGAACUGCAUUCAAAACUGACGAGCUAGAGUAUGGUAGAGGGGUGGUGGAAUUUCCUGUGUACC